RNAcentral lists this ribosomal RNA (1281 nucleotides) under Triticum aestivum (bread wheat). RNAcentral's name for it is "partial small subunit ribosomal RNA". The record is from RNAcentral. Lineage: Eukaryota; Viridiplantae; Streptophyta; Magnoliopsida; Poales; Poaceae.
AUGGAGCGUGGGAGCGAGAUGAGGCCCGUGCACAACAGCGUCGACACCGUCAACGCGGCGGCCGCGGCCAUUGUCACCGCCGGGAGCCGCAGGCAGCCCACCGUGGAGCCGAGAAGGAAAUGGACUGAUUGGUUGAGCGCAUACUUCUGCUUUGGAGCUCAAAAGAAUGAUCGACGCAUCAGCCAUGCAAUCCUUGUCCCAGAAUCUGCAUCUCAGAGGAUAGAUGCACCGGCACCAGAAAUUCCAAAUCAUCCACCUCCCCAGGUCUUCCCCUUUGUCGCACCUCCAUCAUCGCCCGCCUCUUUCCUCCAAUCAGGAUCUGCAUCUAUUAUACAAUCACCAAUGGGCCCUCCAUCUUUUUCGCCUCGCUCGCCAAACUCUCCGUCACCCACAGGUCCUCCAUCCAUCUUUGCUAUUGGGCCAUAUGCACAUGAGACACAGGUAGUCUCCCCUCCAAUCUUCUCAGCCUUCACAACUGAACCUUCAACAGCUCCUUUCACUCCCCCACCAGAGUCUGUUCAUCUGACAACCCCUUCCUCGCCUGAGGUGCCAUAUGCAAAGCUUCUGACUUCACUCAACAGCAGCAAGAAUGGGGAAAGGGGUGAACUCCACUCAUACCAUAUGUACCCUGAGAGCCCAAUAGGGCGUCUCAUAUCUCCAAGCUCUGCUUGUUCUGGCACCUGCUCCCCAUUCCCUGACCCUGAGCUGCAGACUUCCUCACACAGCACUUUCCCCUCCUUCCCAGUUCGUGAGCCCCCAAAGAUCCUGGAUGGCGAGGGCAUUGCUACACAGAAGUUGAUACCUCGCCAUAUGAGGAAUGGCGGCUCCCUUUUGGAUGGCCACAUUACAGCAGCUGUACCGGUCGUGGACUUCUCUGCAAGACUUCAAAACAAUGAUCAUGCUAUGGAUCACCGGGUCUCAUUCGAGCUGACAGUAGAGGAUGUCGCCCGCUGCCUGGAGAAGAAGACCGCUGGAGAAUCUGCUGCAUCAUCUUUCCACCUGCCAUCCAGCAAUACUGGGGAUCACUCGAGAGAAUCCAAUGAAACAAGGGCAGGGCUGUACGUUGAUGAAACAUACCAUGACCUGCCUGAGAAAGCACGGCGCUCCCUGUCCCUCCGUCUGGCCAAAGAGUUCAAGUUCAGCAAUGUCGAGGCCCCUCAUGUGGAGGAGACGGGCGCGCUCGGGUCCGACUGGUGGGCCAACGAGAAGGUGGCCGCGAUCACUACGGAGCCAAGGAAGAGCUGGUCCUUCCGCCCAGUGGCGCAGCCGGGGGUCAGCUAA